Molecule: ribosomal RNA, 480 nt
Filed under: uncultured bacterium
Lineage: Bacteria
Description: bacterial SSU rRNA
Rfam family: Bacterial small subunit ribosomal RNA
Source: RNAcentral
GACGAACGCUGGCGGCGUGCUUAACACAUGCAAGUCGAACGGUAAGGCCCCUUCGGGGGUACACGAGUGGCGAACGGGUGAGUAACACGUGGGUAAUCUGCCCUGCACUUCGGGAUAAGCCUGGGAAACUGGGUCUAAUACCGGAUAUGAGCUCCUGCCGCAUGGUGAGGGUUGGAAAGUUUUUCGGUGCAGGAUGAGUCCGCGGCCUAUCAGCUUGUUGGUGGGGUAAUGGCCUACCAAGGCGACGACGGGUAGCCGGCCUGAGAGGGUGAUCGGCCACACUGGGACUGAGACACGGCCCAGACUCCUACGGGAGGCAGCAGUGGGGAAUAUUGCACAAUGGGCGAAAGCCUGAUGCAGCGACGCCGCGUGGGGGAUGACGGUCUUCGGAUUGUAAACCCCUUUCAGUAGGGACGAAGCGCAAGUGACGGUACCUGCAGAAGAAGCACCGGCCAACUACGUGCCAGCAGCCGCGGUAAU